AGUUCCCUGCUUUGCGCGUGAUGGUUUCGGAGGCUCGCUUUGAGCCAAUGUUCCAUCUAAGUGAAUCGCGACGCCGCGCCGUGUGCAUGCCUCUGCAAGAGGAAGCCUGACGCGCGGCUUGACCAGUGGUUCCACCUGCUUAGCGCAGGUUCAAACGAGCUCCCCACACGGCAAAGCGGGGCCUUU
This 186-nucleotide non-coding RNA is filed under the name Acidobacteriota bacterium. RNAcentral's name for it is "Acidobacteria bacterium 6S RNA". It matches the Rfam family "6S / SsrS RNA". Rfam says of the family: E. coli 6S RNA was the first non coding RNA to be sequenced, but its function was unknown until recently. It consists of 184 nucleotides that fold into an extended hairpin structure with a large single-stranded internal bulge. The record is from RNAcentral. Lineage: Bacteria; Pseudomonadati; Acidobacteriota.